AUUGAACGCUGGCGGAAUGCUUUACACAUGCAAGUCGAACGGCAGCACGGACUUCGGUCUGGUGGCGAGUGGCGAACGGGUGAGUAAUGUAUCGGAACGUGCCCAGUCGUGGGGGAUAACGUAGUGAAAAUUACGCUAAUACCGCAUGCGAUCUAUGGAUGAAAGCGGGGGGUCGCAAGACCUCGCGCGAUUGGAGCGGCCGAUAUCAGAUUAGGGAGUUGGUGGGGUAAAGGCCCACCAAGCCAACGAUCUGUAGCUGGUCUGAGAGGACGAGCAGCCCCACUGGAACUGAGACACGGUCCAGACUCCUACGGGAGGCAGCAGUGGGGAAUUUUGGACAAUGGGCGAAAGCCUGAUCCAGCCAUUCCGCGUGCAGGAUGAAGGCCCUCGGGUUGUAAACUGCUUUUGUACAGAACGAAAAGGUUUCUACUAAUACUAGGAGCUCAUGACGGUACUGUAAGAAUAAGCACCGGCUAACUACGUGCCAGCCGCCGCAGUAA
This 500-nucleotide ribosomal RNA is filed under the name uncultured bacterium. RNAcentral describes it as "partial 16S ribosomal RNA". It matches the Rfam family "Bacterial small subunit ribosomal RNA", at positions 30 to 523 of the family's 1533-position model. The record is from RNAcentral.